GGAUUAGAAACCCUGGUAGUCCUGGCCCUAAACGAUGAAUACUUGGUGUCUGGAGUUUUAAUUCUCCGGGUGCCGUCGCUAACGUUUUUAGUAUCCCGCCUGGGGAGUACGUACGCGAGUGUGAAACUCAAAGGAAUUGACGGGGACCCGCACAAGCGGCGGAGCAUAUGGCUUAAUUCGAUGCAACGCGAAGAACCUUACCAGGGCUUGACAUGGAUCUGCAAGCUCGUGAAAGCGAGUCGCUUUCGAAGGUGAUUCACGGGUGGUGCAUGGCUGUCGUCAGCUCGUGUUGUGAAAUGUUGGGUUAAGUCCCG
This 314-nucleotide ribosomal RNA is filed under the name uncultured bacterium. Its description in RNAcentral is "bacterial SSU rRNA". It matches the Rfam family "Bacterial small subunit ribosomal RNA", at positions 775 to 1089 of the family's 1533-position model. The record is from RNAcentral.